AAGAGACGUUGCCCUUCGGGGUAUACCUCCCACCCUUUGUUUAUUAUACCUUUGUUGCUUUGGCGGGUCCGUCCUCGGACCACCGGCUUCUGCUGGUCAGUGCCCGCCAGAGGACCUAAAACUCUGUUUGUUAAUAUUGUCUGAGUACUAUAUAAUAGUUA
RNAcentral lists this unclassified non-coding RNA (161 nucleotides) under soil metagenome. RNAcentral describes it as "partial internal transcribed spacer 1". The record is from RNAcentral.